CAAGUCGAGCGAAUGGAUUAAGAGCUUGCUCUUAUGAAGUUAGCGGCGGACGGGUGAGUAACACGUGGGUAACCUACCCAUAAGACUGGGAUAACUCCGGGAAACCGGGGCUAAUACCGGAUAAUAUUUUGAACUGCAUAGUUCGAAAUUGAAAGGCGGCUUCGGCUGUCACUUAUGGAUGGACCCGCGUCGCAUUAGCUAGUUGGUGAGGUAACGGCUCACCAAGGCGACGAUGCGUAGCCGACCUGAGAGGGUGAUCGGCCACACUGGGACUGAGACACGGCCCAGACUCCUACGGGAGGCAGCAGUAGGGAAUCUUCCGCAAUGGACGAAAGUCUGACGGAGCAACGCCGCGUGAGUGAUGAAGGCUUUCGGGUCGUAAAACUCUGUUGUUAGGGAAGAACAAGUGCUAGUUGAAUAAGCUGGCACCUUGACGGUACCUAACCAGAAAGCCACGGCUAACUACGUGCCAGCAGCCGCGGUAAUACGUAGGUGGCAAGCGUUAUCCGGAAUUAUUGGGCGUAAAGCGCGCGCAGGUGGUUUCUUAAGUCUGAUGUGAAAGCCCACGGCUCAACCGUGGAGGGUCAUUGGAAACUGGGAGACUUGAGUGC
RNAcentral lists this ribosomal RNA (611 nucleotides) under Bacillus licheniformis. RNAcentral describes it as "bacterial SSU rRNA". It matches the Rfam family "Bacterial small subunit ribosomal RNA", at positions 58 to 649 of the family's 1533-position model. Lineage: Bacteria; Bacillati; Bacillota; Bacilli; Caryophanales; Bacillaceae. The record is from RNAcentral.